CAUUAUUGGAGAGUUUGAUCCUGGCUCAGGACGAACGCUGGCGGCGUGCUUAACACAUGCAAGUCGAGCGCUGAAGCCCUUCGGGGUGGAUGAGCGGCGAACGGGUGAGUAACACGUGGGUAAUCUGCCCUGCACUCUGG
RNAcentral lists this ribosomal RNA (140 nucleotides) under Actinokineospora iranica. Its description in RNAcentral is "Alloactinosynnema iranicum 16S rRNA. Bacterial SSU". It matches the Rfam family "Bacterial small subunit ribosomal RNA", at positions 1 to 141 of the family's 1533-position model. Lineage: Bacteria; Bacillati; Actinomycetota; Actinomycetes; Pseudonocardiales; Pseudonocardiaceae. The record is from RNAcentral.